GUCUAUGGCCAUGCCACCCUGCACACGCCUGAUCUCAUCUGAUCUCGGAAGCUAAUCAGGUUUGGGCCUGGUUAGUACUUGGAUGGGAGACCAACUAGGAAGACUGGGUGCUGUGGACA
RNAcentral lists this ribosomal RNA (119 nucleotides) under Pteropus alecto (black flying fox). The record is from RNAcentral. Lineage: Eukaryota; Metazoa; Chordata; Mammalia; Chiroptera; Pteropodidae.